Molecule: ribosomal RNA, 209 nt
Filed under: Bacillus subtilis
Lineage: Bacteria; Bacillati; Bacillota; Bacilli; Caryophanales; Bacillaceae
Description: partial 16S ribosomal RNA
Rfam family: Bacterial small subunit ribosomal RNA
Source: RNAcentral
GUCGAGCGGACAGAUGGGAGCUUGCUCCCUGAUGUUAGCGGCGGACGGGUGAGUAACACGUGGGUAACCUGCCUGUAAGACUGGGAUAACUCCGGGAAACCGGGGCUAAUACCGGAUGGUUGUUUGAACCGCAUGGUUCAAACAUAAAAGGUGGCUUCGGCUACCACUUACAGAUGGACCCGCGGCGCAUUAGCUAGUUGGUGAGGUAA